UAAGGGCGCACGGUGGAUGCCUUGGCACUAGAAGCCGAUGAAGGACGUUACUAACGACGAUAUGCUUUGGGGAGCUGUAAGUAAGCUUUGAUCCAGAGAUUUCCGAAUGGGGAAACCCAGCAUGAGUUAUGUCAUGUUAUCGAUAUGUGAAUACAUAGCAUAUCAGAAGGCACACCCGGAGAACUGAAACAUCUUAGUACCCGGAGGAAGAGAAAGAAAAUUCGAUUCCCUUAGUAGCGGCGAGCGAAACGGGAAGAGCCCAAACCAACAAGCUUGCUUGUUGGGGUUGUAGGACACUCUAUACGGAGUUACAAAGGACGACAUUAGACGAAUCAUCUGGAAAGAUGAAUCAAAGAAGGUAAUAAUCCUGUAGUCGAAAAUGUUGUCUCUCUUGAGUGGAUCCUGAGUACGACGGAGCACGUGAAAUUCCGUCGGAAUCUGGGAGGACCAUCUCCUAAGGCUAAAUACUCUCUAGUGACCGAUAGUGAACCAGUACCGUGAGGGAAAGGUGAAAAGCACCCCGGAAGGGGAGUGAAAUAGAACCUGAAACCGUGUGCUUACAAGUAGUCAGAGCCCGUUAAUGGGUGAUGGCGUGCCUUUUGUAGAAUG
Molecule: ribosomal RNA, 609 nt
Filed under: Staphylococcus aureus
Lineage: Bacteria; Bacillati; Bacillota; Bacilli; Caryophanales; Staphylococcaceae
Description: partial 23S ribosomal RNA
Rfam family: Bacterial large subunit ribosomal RNA
Source: RNAcentral